This 406-nucleotide ribosomal RNA is filed under the name uncultured bacterium. Its description in RNAcentral is "partial 16S ribosomal RNA". It matches the Rfam family "Bacterial small subunit ribosomal RNA", at positions 30 to 526 of the family's 1533-position model. The record is from RNAcentral.
AUUGAACGCUGGCGGCAUGCUUUACACAUGCAAGUCGAACGAGUGGCGAACGGGUGAGUAACAUAUCGGAACGUACCGAGUAAUGGGGGAUAACUAAUCGAAAGAGUAGCUAAUACCGCAUAUUAUCCGAUCUGCCCAUAUGUGAUUAGCUGGUUGGUGGGGUAAAGGCCUACCAAGGCGACGAUCAGUAGCGGGUCUGAGAGGAUGAUCCGCCACACUGGGACUGAGACACGGCCCAGACUCCUACGGGAGGCAGCAGUGGGGAAUUUUGGACAAUGGGCGCAAGCCUGAUGCAGCCAUGCCGCGUGUCUGAAGAAGGCCUUCGGGUUGUAAAGGACUUUUGUCAGGGAAGCGGUACCUGCAGAAUAAGCACCGGCUAACUACGUGCCAGCAGCCGCGGUAAUAC